This 464-nucleotide ribosomal RNA is filed under the name Vreelandella stevensii. RNAcentral describes it as "partial 16S ribosomal RNA". It matches the Rfam family "Bacterial small subunit ribosomal RNA", at positions 338 to 795 of the family's 1533-position model. Lineage: Bacteria; Pseudomonadati; Pseudomonadota; Gammaproteobacteria; Oceanospirillales; Halomonadaceae. The record is from RNAcentral.
CCUACGGGUGGCUGCAGUGGGGAAUAUUGGACAAUGGGGCAACCCUGAUCCAGCCAUGCCGCGUGUGUGAAGAAGGCCCUCGGGUUGUAAAGCACUUUCAGUGAGGAAGAACGCCUGGUGGUUAAUACCCAUCAGGAAAGACAUCACUCACAGAAGAAGCACCGGCUAACUCCGUGCCAGCAGCCGCGGUAAUACGGAGGGUGCGAGCGUUAAUCGGAAUUACUGGGCGUAAAGCGCGCGUAGGUGGCUUGAUAAGCCGGUUGUGAAAGCCCCGGGCUCAACCUGGGAACGGCAUCCGGAACUGUCAAGCUAGAGUGCAGGAGAGGAAGGUAGAAUUCCCGGUGUAGCGGUGAAAUGCGUAGAGAUCGGGAGGAAUACCAGUGGCGAAGGCGGCCUUCUGGACUGACACUGACACUGAGGUGCGAAAGCGUGGGUAGCAAACAGGAUUAGAUACCCCAGUAGUC